RNAcentral lists this ribosomal RNA (292 nucleotides) under uncultured bacterium. RNAcentral's name for it is "partial 16S ribosomal RNA". The record is from RNAcentral.
GGACUACUAGGGUAUCUAAUCCCUUUCGCUCCCCUGGCUUUCGUUCCUCAGCGUCAGUUACGGCCCAGUAUCGCGCUUUCGCCACCGGUGUUCCUCCUGAUAUCUACGCAUUUCACCGCUACACCAGGAAUUCCCGAUACCUCUACCGUACUCUAGUCACCCAGUUUCCAAUGCCAUGCCGAAGUUGAGCUUCGGGCUUUAACACCAGACUUAAGUAACCACCUACGAACUCUUUACGCCCAAUAAUUCCGGACAACGCUUGCAUCCUACGUCUUACCGCGGCUGCUGGCAC